RNAcentral lists this ribosomal RNA (325 nucleotides) under uncultured bacterium. RNAcentral's name for it is "bacterial SSU rRNA". It matches the Rfam family "Bacterial small subunit ribosomal RNA", at positions 28 to 334 of the family's 1533-position model. The record is from RNAcentral.
GACGAACGCUGGCGGCGUGCCUAACACAUGCAAGUCGAACGGAGUUCAUUGGAUUGAGGCUUCGGCCAAAUGAAUUUGAGCUUAGUGGCGAACGGGUGAGUAACGCGUGAGCAACCUGCCUUACACAGGGGGAUAACACUUAGAAAUAGGUGCUAAUACCGCAUAUGACCACAACCUAGCAUUAGGAAGGGGUGAAAGGAGUAAUCCGGUGUAAGAGGGGUUUGCGUCUCAUUAGCUAGUUGGUAGGGUAACGGCCUACCAAGGCGACGAUGAGUAGCCGAUCUGAGAGGGUGACCGGCCACACUGGAACUGAGAAACGGUCCAG